CGGGAUAGCUCAGUUGGUAGAGCAGAGGACUGAAAAUCCUCGUGUCC
This 47-nucleotide transfer RNA is filed under the name Globimetula dinklagei. RNAcentral's name for it is "partial tRNA-Phe". Lineage: Eukaryota; Viridiplantae; Streptophyta; Magnoliopsida; Santalales; Loranthaceae. The record is from RNAcentral.